GCAUGUCUAAGUACAAGCCUCACUAAGGUGAAACCGCGAAUGGCUCAUUAAAUCACACCUAAUGUACUGGACAGUCUCAGUUACUUGGAUAACUGCGGUAAUUCUGGAGCUAAUACAUGCGUACUAGCCGCGACUCACGGAGCGGUGCUUUUAUUAGAUUAAAACCAAACGGCCUUGAGCCGUCCCCCUGGUGAUUCUGAAUAACUUUGGGCUGAUCGCACGGACUCGUUCCGGCGAACUGUCCUUCCAAGGUGUGCCCUAUCAACUGUCGACUGGGGCAUAGACGCCCACAGUGGUUUUGACGGGUAACGGGGAAUUAGGGUUCGAUUCCGGAGAGGGAGCCUGAGAAACGGCUACCACUUCUAAGGAAGGCAGCAGGCACGCAAAUUACCCACUGGCCGCAGGACGAGGUAGUGACGAAAAAUAACGAUCCCGGACUCAUCCGAGGCCC
Molecule: ribosomal RNA, 451 nt
Filed under: Copepoda environmental sample
Lineage: Eukaryota; Metazoa; Arthropoda; Copepoda
Description: SSU rRNA
Rfam family: Eukaryotic small subunit ribosomal RNA
Source: RNAcentral